RNAcentral lists this ribosomal RNA (894 nucleotides) under Salmonella enterica. Its description in RNAcentral is "partial 23S ribosomal RNA". It matches the Rfam family "Bacterial large subunit ribosomal RNA", at positions 1 to 827 of the family's 2925-position model. The record is from RNAcentral. Lineage: Bacteria; Pseudomonadati; Pseudomonadota; Gammaproteobacteria; Enterobacterales; Enterobacteriaceae.
GGGUUGUGAGGUUAAGCGACUAAGCGUACACGGUGGAUGCCCUGGCAGUCAGAGGCGAUGAAGGGCGUGCUAAUCUGCGAUAAGCGCCGGUAAGGUGAUAUGAACCGUUAUAACCGGCGAUACCCGAAUGGGGAAACCCAGUGUGAUUCGUCACACUAUCAUUAACUGAAUCCAUAGGUUAAUGAAGCGAACCGGGGGAACUGAAACAUCUAAGUACCCCGAGGAAAAGAAAUCAACCGAGAUUCCCCCAGUAGCGGCGAGCGAACGGGGAGGAGCCCAGAGCCUGAAUCAGCAUAUGUGUUAGUGGAAGCGUCUGGAAAGGCGCGCGAUACAGGGUGACAGCCCCGUACACAAAAGCGCAUGUGCUGUGAGCUCGAUGAGUAGGGCGGGACACGUGGUAUCCUGUCUGAAUAUGGGGGGACCAUCCUCCAAGGCUAAAUACUCCUGACUGACCGAUAGUGAACCAGUACCGUGAGGGAAAGGCGAAAAGAACCCCGGCGAGGGGAGUGAAAAAGAACCUGAAACCGUGUACGUACAAGCAGUGGGAGCCCCACCACUAAGCCAGUGGUGAACUCCACAUACGCAUCCUUUGCUGAGGAUACGGUUAACGGAGCGAAAGCGACGUUCAACCUCAAAAGAAGCAGAGGGGGCUUAGUGGUGGGGUGACUGCGUACCUUUUGUAUAAUGGGUCAGCGACUUAUAUUCUGUAGCAAGGUUAACCGAAUAGGGGAGCCGGAGGGAAACCGAGUCUUAAUUGGGCGUUAAGUUGCAGGGUAUAGACCCGAAACCCGGUGAUCUAGCCAUGGGCAGGUUGAAGGUUGGGUAACACUAACUGGAGGACCGAACCGACUAAUGUUGAAAAAUUAGCGGAUGACCUGUGGCUGGGGGUGAAAG